Molecule: RNA transcript, 695 nt
Organism: Cajanus cajan (pigeon pea)
Lineage: Eukaryota; Viridiplantae; Streptophyta; Magnoliopsida; Fabales; Fabaceae
Source: RefSeq, a predicted model, not a curated record
UAUGCUAAGAGACUGAGUAGCUACUAGUACCAGUACCAGCCACCAUCACUAAACCUUUGCAAAACCCUAAAACUGCGUUUCUCAUUUCUCAGAUUGGAUUCCGAUAAUCACAAAUGGCUUGGCGUUCAGCAUCUCUCUCUCGCUCCGUAAUCUCCACAGCCAGGGCUUCUCUCCGACCGGCGGCGCCGUCACCCCUCCCCCGCCUCCGUCCGCCGCCACUCGCCGCCCCUCGCGUCCAGUCCCGCCGCUUUUCCAUGCCUGCUUCCAGGAAUUUGGGGCAAUUGGGCUGCACACAAUCGCUCUUACCUCUGCACAGUACGAUGGCUAUCACCUGCAUGACGUCACACGUUGCUGUCAGUGCACGCGCUUGCUGCGAGCUGUCUCACGGGAAUGGAAAAGAUGGGUGAUGCGCAAGGACAUCGAUCAUCCAAUGGCGAGAGAAGAAUGCUGCAUAGUGAUCCUGAUUCCUGAGGUACGUGAGGAAGCUGUUGGAUUUUCGUAGUUGCCUUUGAGAAUAUGGGUGAUCAAUAAUUAUGAAUAGUGCUAUCUGCAAAGUAACGGUUGUAGGAAUCUUGAAUGGGACUCAUCUGUUAUGCUAUUUUUAAUUUGUGCUAUUUCUUAUUCAAGAGGGAAAAACUUCUUUCUUUCAAAAUCGGAACAUCAUUCAAGAUUAGUUAUUAUUGAUUCUUCUUGUA